RNAcentral lists this unclassified non-coding RNA (332 nucleotides) under soil metagenome. RNAcentral describes it as "partial contains 5.8S ribosomal RNA, internal transcribed spacer 2, and large subunit ribosomal RNA". The stretch from base 1 to 120 matches the Rfam family "5.8S ribosomal RNA", at positions 35 to 154 of the family's 154-position model. The record is from RNAcentral.
GAUGAAGAACGUAGCAAAAUGCGAUAAGUAAUGUGAAUUGCAGAAUUCAGUGAAUCAUCGAAUCUUUGAACGCACAUUGCGCCCGCCAGUAUUCUGGCGGGCAUGCCUGUUCGAGCGUCAUUUCAACCCUCAAGCACAGCUUGGUGUUGGGACUCGCGUUAAUUCGCGUUCCCCAAAUUGAUUGGCGGUCACGUCGAGCUUCCAUAGCGUAGUAGUAAAACCCUCGUUACUGGUAAUGGUCGCGGCCACGCCGUUAAACCCCAACUUCUGAAUGUUGACCUCGGAUCAGGUAGGAAUACCCGCUGAACUUAAGCAUAUCAAUAAGCGGAGGA